GUUUACAGCCAUACCACCCUGAACGCUCCCGAUCUUGUCUGAUCUCGGAAGCUAAGCAGGGUCGGACCUGGCUAGUACUUGGAAAGGAGAAGACAUUAAAAUUGUAUCCU
Molecule: ribosomal RNA, 110 nt
Organism: Mustela putorius furo (domestic ferret)
Lineage: Eukaryota; Metazoa; Chordata; Mammalia; Carnivora; Mustelidae
Source: Ensembl